This 562-nucleotide long non-coding RNA is filed under the name Sorghum bicolor (sorghum). RNAcentral's name for it is "long non-coding RNA (SBIC_LNC008140)". The record is from RNAcentral. Lineage: Eukaryota; Viridiplantae; Streptophyta; Magnoliopsida; Poales; Poaceae.
GCCGCUCCUGACCGUGAGCUCGGCUAGUAUACUAAAGUUUUUAACACUUGUACAGAGGUUGUACAUCUUAACCCAUGAGUCAUGAUUUACCCUUUCGCCCGAGGUGACCAGCCUCUUAACCCACUACCAAAGAAGGUCGGCAGGGAUCACUAUGAAGCCUUUCAAAAGUUCGUCUAACAUGUUACGGCCGCAAGGUUUUCCGGGCGAGCAGAUAUAGAGCCCCCAUUCCAAAUGGCACAAUGACACGCAGCCUAUACACAUAAGGACAGAGACUCGCACUAUACCCGUGUCGGCAAGCCCCUCUAGCGCCCUUACGAGUAACCUCUAACAAGCUAGAAAAGGUCUUCGUACUGAGCUAAAGGCAGAGCCAUUAUAGCCCUCAUGGUUGCACUAUUAUCCCAGGUGAUUACAUACAGACAAGAUCUCAUGGUUAUAUGUCAUUUUUUUAUGUUCAUUGCAUAGUCAUUAAUUACUUUAGAGGAUCAUGGAUUACCUCAAGCACUAGCAGUAACUACACCAAAUGCAUAUCAAAUAGGUUAAUAAGGAAUCUAAGGUAACAAUA